RNAcentral lists this ribosomal RNA (428 nucleotides) under uncultured bacterium. RNAcentral describes it as "bacterial SSU rRNA". It matches the Rfam family "Bacterial small subunit ribosomal RNA", at positions 355 to 776 of the family's 1533-position model. The record is from RNAcentral.
UGGGGAAUCUUGCGCAAUGGGCGAAAGCCUGACGCAGCGACGCCGCGUGGGGGAAGAAGGCCUUCGGGUUGUAAACCUCUUUCAGCAGGGACGAAGCCACUCGGGUUAAUAGCCCAGAGGGUGACGGUACCUGCAGAAGAAGCCCCGGCUAACUACGUGCCAGCAGCCGCGGUAAUACGUAGGGGGCAAGCGUUGUCCGGAUUUAUUGGGCGUAAAGAGCGUGUAGGCGGCCAGACAGGUCCGUUGUGAAAACUAGAGGCUUAACCUCUAGACGUCGAUGGAAACCGUCUGGCUAGAGUCCGGAAGAGGAGAAUGGAAUUCCUGGUGUAGCGGUGAAAUGCGCAGAUAUCAGGAAGAACACCCGUGGCUAAGGCGGUUCUCUAGUACGGUACUGACGCUGAGACGCGAAAGCGUGGGGAGCGAACAGG